Molecule: ribosomal RNA, 496 nt
Filed under: uncultured bacterium
Lineage: Bacteria
Description: partial 16S ribosomal RNA
Rfam family: Bacterial small subunit ribosomal RNA
Source: RNAcentral
AUGAACGCUGGCGGCGUGCCUAAUACAUGCAAGUCGAGCGAACAGACGAGGAGCUUGCUCCUCUGACGUUAGCGGCGGACGGGUGAGUAACACGUGGAUAACCUACCUAUAAGACUGGGAUAACUUCGGGAAACCGGAGCUAAUACCGGAUAAUAUAUUGAACCGCCUGGUUCAAUAGUGAAAGACGGUUUUGCUGUCACUUAUAGAUGGAUCCGCGCCGCAUUAGCUAGUUGGUAAGGUAACGGCGUACCAAGGCAACGAUGCGUAGCCGACCUGAGAGGGUGAUCGGCCACACUGGAACUGAGACACGGUCCAGACUCCUACGGGAGGCAGCAGUAGGGAAUCUUCCGCAAUGGGCGAAAGCCUGACGGAGCAACGCCGCGUGAGUGAUGAAGGUCUUCGGAUCGUAAAACUCUGUUAUUAGGGAAGAACAAAUGUGUAAGUAACUAUGCACGUCUUGACGGUACCUAAUCAGAAAGCCACGGCUAACUACGUG